This 579-nucleotide ribosomal RNA is filed under the name uncultured bacterium. RNAcentral's name for it is "bacterial SSU rRNA". It matches the Rfam family "Bacterial small subunit ribosomal RNA", at positions 337 to 916 of the family's 1533-position model. The record is from RNAcentral.
UCCUACGGGAGGCAGCAGUGAGGAAUCUUGCGCAAUGGGCGAAAGCCUGACGCAGCCACGCCGCGUGCCGGAUGAAGGCCCUAUGGGUUGUAAACGGCUUUUAAGCAGGAAGAACGACCGGAUUUCGAUCUGGUGUGACGGUACUGCUUGAAUAAGCACCGGCUAACUCCGUGCCAGCAGCCGCGGUAAUACGGAGGGUGCAAGCGUUGUCCGGAAUCAUUGGGUGUAAAGGGUGCGUAGGCGGGCGUCUAAGUCUGGGGUGAAAUCUUGCCGCUUAACGGUAAAAUGGCCUUGGAUACUGGGCGUCUUGAGUGUAGAAGAGGUAAGUGGAAUUCGUAGUGUAGCGGUGAAAUGCAUAGAUAUUACGAAGAACAUCAGUGGCGAAGGCGGCUUACUGGUCUACAACUGACGCUGAGGCACGAAAGCGUGGGGAGCGAACAGGAUUAGACACCCUGGUAGUCCACGCUGUAAACGAUGCAUACUAGGUGUUGGCCUUUCGGGGCCAGUGCUGCAGUUAACGCAUUAAGUAUGCCACCUGGGGAGUACGUCGGCAACGAUGAAACUCAAAUGAAUUGACGG